Molecule: ribosomal RNA, 409 nt
Filed under: bacterium
Lineage: Bacteria
Description: partial 16S ribosomal RNA
Rfam family: Bacterial small subunit ribosomal RNA
Source: RNAcentral
UGGGGAAUAUUGCACAAUGGGGGAAACCCUGAUGCAGCAACGCCGCGUGCGGGAUGACGGCCUUCGGGUUGUAAACCGCUUUCAGCCAUGACGAAGCUUUUGUGACGGUAGUGGCAGAAGAAGCACCGGCUAACUACGUGCCAGCAGCUGCGGUGAUACGUAGGGUGCGAGCGUUGUCCGGAAUUAUUGGGCGUAAAGAGCUUGUAGGCGGUUUGUCGCGUCGAAAGUGUAAACUCAGUGCUUAACGCUGAGCCUGCUUUCGAUACGGGCUGACUAGAGGAAGGUAGGGGAGAAUGGAAUUCCCGGUGGAGCGGUGGAAUGCGCAGAUAUCGGGAGGAACACCAGUGGCGAAGGCGGUUCUCUGGACCUUUCCUGACGCUGAGAAGCGAAAGCGUGGGUAGCAAACAGG